This 438-nucleotide ribosomal RNA is filed under the name uncultured bacterium. Its description in RNAcentral is "bacterial SSU rRNA". It matches the Rfam family "Bacterial small subunit ribosomal RNA", at positions 76 to 507 of the family's 1533-position model. The record is from RNAcentral.
AGACCAACCCUUGAGAGUGGACGGAACGGGUGAGUAAUAUAGUCGGAACGUCGCCCAGUCGGUGGGGGAUAACGUAGCGAAAGUUACGCUAAUACCGCAUACGAUCUAAGGAUGAAAGCGGGGGGAUCGCAAGACCUCGCGCGAUUGGAGCGGCCGAUAUCAGAUUAGGUAGUUGGUGAGGUAAAGGCUCACCAAGCCAACGAUCUGUAGCUGGUCUGAGAGGACGACCAGCCACACUGGAACUGAGACACGGUCCAGACUCCUACGGGAGGCAGCAGUGGGGAAUUUUGGACAAUGGACGCAAGUCUGAUCCAGCCAUUCCGCGUGCAGGAUGAAGGCCCUCGGGUUGUAAACUGCUUUUGUACGGAACGAAAAGGUUUCUAUUAAUACUAGGAGCUCAUGACGGUACCGUAAGAAUAAGCACCGGCUAACUACGUG